CCGUUUUCUACCUUUGUCUAUGCGUACCACACGUUUCCUCGGGGGGCUUGCCCCCCGUUAGGACAUUUAUCAACCUUUUUUGUAAUAGCAGUCAGCGUCUGAAAUAAUUUAAUUAUUAAAACUUUCAACAACGGAUCUCUUGGUUCUGGCAUCGAUGAAGAACGCAGCAAAAUGCGAUAAGUAGUGUGAAUUGCAGAAUUCAGUGAAUCAUCGAAUCUUUGAACGCACAUUGCGCCCCUUGGUAUUCCAUGGGGCAUGCCUGUUCGAGCGUCAUUUGAACCCUCAAGCUUUGCUUGGUGUUGGGUGUUUGUCCUGCCAUUGCGUGUGGACUCGCCUUAAAGUAAUUGGCAGCCUGGUAAUUCGGCUUUGAGCGCAGCAAAUCGCGUACUCUCAGCUGGUGCUUUGGCAUCCAAAAGACCUUUUUUUUACUCUUGACCUCGGAUCAGGUAGGGAUACCCGCUGAACUUAAGCAUAUCAAAAGUCGGAGGAA
This 490-nucleotide ribosomal RNA is filed under the name Phoma sp. WZS7165. Its description in RNAcentral is "eukaryotic LSU rRNA". The stretch from base 120 to 273 matches the Rfam family "5.8S ribosomal RNA". The record is from RNAcentral. Lineage: Eukaryota; Fungi; Ascomycota; Dothideomycetes; Pleosporales; Didymellaceae.